UAUCUUGUGCUUUAUAAUCACUGACCAUAUAUGUUGUUUUAAAUGUUAUGCAGGUCCAGGGAUGAAUUGAAUGAUGAUGAGAACAGCAAUUUCACUUUGAAUGGAAUCACCAUCAGAUUUAUAAUGCUGAUUUUAUGAAGUGGAACUAUGCAAAGUAGUUGGAAGUGAACAGUGCACAGAAAAUGCACCAGGAAUUAUUCCGGCCAGGGAAAGAUGUCUAUAUUUCUACAAAAAGAAAGUCUGUUACUUGAGACUGCACUGGAACAACAAUAUUUUUUAGCAAUAUAGAAGCAAGACUGACUGGAUGAUGGUUGCAUUCUCUUGCCAAGGUGCUGAUGGCCCAAUACUGCUACAGAAUAAGUUCAGAGAAGGUGCUAAUGUUGAAAUGUGUAUUUCCACUGUUGUGUUGAAACUAUCUCAGAAAACAUCCAGAGAAUCCUUUAUUACAAUUCUUCUCAUUGACUGAAGAAAUUAAUUUCCCUGCAUCUAAUAAAACUCUGCAUUAUUUUCAGGCCAGAUAUGUUCUGAGUAUUAUGCUUAAAACUUCUGAAGAAGAACUUUUCCUUGGGAUCAAAUCUCUUUGCCAGACAAACAAAAGGAAUUCCUAGUACUGCGUAUGCAUUAACUGUUACCUCAUGGCUCUGUCCAUAAAAAAUAAUUAACGUUGUACUGUACAAUCAAAUAUUGUUAAUAUGUUCUCAUUAGUCGUGUAGCUGUAGUGGAUUUUCCUUCACUGCUGGUUGAGAAUAAGAAUGUGCUGCAUUGGCUGGAAUAAAUGUUGACAUCUGUAGGAUCUGUGGAAGAAUACAAAUAUGCAUCAUUGAAAUUUAGAUGCAUGGAGUUGAAUAUCAUGCAAAACAAAACUCGUACUGAGGAAUUGAAAUGAGAUUGAAAGAAAUUCUCAAGUCAGAGUUGAGAUUACCAAACGAGUUUUUGCCCACUUCAGUUUUCUUUGCAGCAUGUGCAGAAAUAAAUAAUUGAAACUUUUGCAAGGGAGGUUUUUUUCAAAGUUAUAUUUAAAGACUUCGUUUAGUGAGAUACAGCAUUAUGGAAAUUAUUUGUGGGUAAAUAAAUAAAGAGAAAAAAAUGAGAGCUGUGCAGCUUUCUUUAUAAUAAGUUAUGAAGAAAACAGUAGCAUUUCCCAUCUGUUUUGAAGUAUUUCUUUUUCCAUGAGAUUACCUAUUUAUGAAACCAAAAAUGGGCAGGUAUAGGAGAAGAGAGGAAGAUUUUCCACUGAAGUUCAGGAUGUCUGAUCCCAAAUAUAGACAGUGCAAUGUGGAUUUCUUGAAGCUGACCUCCCAGUUAAGUUGAAGAAUCUAAGUUUUAAGUAGGCAUUUUGCUGAAUAUAAAUAAUAGAUGUGAUUCUGUGAUGGGUUAUUUAAGUUUGUUAUAUGUAGGUACAGUGUGCAGAAAAUUAUUUAUUAUUGGCUGACUGUAUUAACUGUUGCAUUGGUUUCAAGCUCUGCCACUGCCAAAGAAGCUGAUUGUGUUCUCUGGGAAAAAAUGAAACAUAGGGAAGGUCUAAGGGAGCAAAGUAUGUUAGUAUGGAUGGAAGAACCUGUUCAGUAUUUGCUGUAAAAAUUUCCUUGCUGUACAAGCUGAUGCAAGGAGGAAGGUGGUGAAGGUUUUCUAAGAAGUGUCAAGCUAUCAUUAGAGAAAAAACCUUUGAAUUUUCAA
Numida meleagris (helmeted guineafowl) is the source of this 1677-nucleotide long non-coding RNA. RefSeq lists it as uncharacterized. The transcript has 3 exons. Lineage: Eukaryota; Metazoa; Chordata; Aves; Galliformes; Numididae. The record is from RefSeq and is a predicted model, not a curated record.